This is a non-coding RNA of Sarcoptes scabiei, 73 nucleotides long. Lineage: Eukaryota; Metazoa; Arthropoda; Arachnida; Sarcoptiformes; Sarcoptidae. The record is from Rfam.
GUGUCUGUAGUGUAGUGGUUAUCACAUCUGCCUAACACGCAGAAGGUCCCAGGUUCGAGACCUGGCAGACACA